GUUGGGGAGAAAAAAUCAAAGUACAGUUCAGUCCAGCACUUGGUUUGCAGUGAGCCAAGCAGGGAGAGUGGAACCACCAAGGUCUCUCCCUGGGAACUACACUCAGCAUGUCACAUCAAGUUGUCAUAGCUUUGAACUAUGUCUCGAAGCUGUGAAUGUACAAAGUGGCCACUCCAGGAAUUAGCAAACAUAUGACCAUGGCAGCAAUUGCAGGGACAAUAUCCAACCAUCUAUGGCAAUAAAUUCUGGAGUAGUGAAGUCCA
This 263-nucleotide long non-coding RNA is filed under the name Felis catus (domestic cat). Its description in RNAcentral is "lncRNA (ENSFCAG00000040902.2)". The record is from RNAcentral. Lineage: Eukaryota; Metazoa; Chordata; Mammalia; Carnivora; Felidae.